UGGGGGAUAUUGCACAAUGGGCGAAAGCCUGAUGCAGCGACGCCGCGUGGGGGAUGAAGGCCUUCGGGUUGUAAACUUCUUUUGCUCUGAACAAGGCAUGCCUUUGGGGUGUGUUGAGUGUAGGGGUUGAUUAGCGCCGGCUAACUACGUGCCAGCAGCCGCGGUAAUACAUAGGGCGCGAGCGUUGUCCGGAAUUAUUGGGCGUAAAGGGCUUGUAGGUGGCUGGUUGCGUCUGUCGUGAAAGCUCAUGGCUUAACUGUGGGUUUGCGGUGGGUACGGGCUGGCUUGAGUGCAGUAGGGGAGGCUGGAAUUCCUGGUGUAGCGGUGGAAUGCGCAGAUAUCAGGAGGAAUACCGGUGGCGAAGGCGGGUCUCUGGGCUGUUACUGACGCUGAGGAGCGAAAGCGUGGGGAGCGAACAGG
This 420-nucleotide ribosomal RNA is filed under the name Fusobacteriota bacterium. RNAcentral describes it as "Fusobacteria bacterium partial 16S ribosomal RNA". It matches the Rfam family "Bacterial small subunit ribosomal RNA", at positions 355 to 776 of the family's 1533-position model. Lineage: Bacteria; Fusobacteriati; Fusobacteriota. The record is from RNAcentral.